ACCAGGGAAACUGAAAAAUAAAAAGUAC
This 28-nucleotide non-coding RNA is filed under the name Rattus norvegicus (Norway rat). Lineage: Eukaryota; Metazoa; Chordata; Mammalia; Rodentia; Muridae. The record is from RNAcentral.